Molecule: ribosomal RNA, 254 nt
Filed under: uncultured bacterium
Lineage: Bacteria
Description: partial 16S ribosomal RNA
Rfam family: Bacterial small subunit ribosomal RNA
Source: RNAcentral
UACGGGGGGAGCAAGCGUUGUUCGGAUUUACUGGGCGUAAAGGGCGCGUAGGCGGCCAGCACAAGUCAGUUGUGAAAUCUCCGAGCUUAACUCGGAAAGGUCAACUGAUACUGUGCGGCUAGAGUGCAGAAGGGGCAACUGGAAUUCUUGGUGUAGCGGUGAAAUGCGUAGAUAUCAAGAGGAACACCUGCGGCGAAGGCGGGUUGCUGGGCUGACACUGACGCUGAGGCGCGAAAGCGUGGGGAGCAAACAGG